Long non-coding RNA from Lates calcarifer (barramundi perch), 864 nucleotides. RefSeq lists it as uncharacterized. The transcript is spliced from 4 exons. The record is from RefSeq and is a predicted model, not a curated record. NCBI's taxonomy places the organism in Eukaryota, Metazoa, Chordata, Actinopteri, Centropomidae.
CUGACGUCAGACGCCGACAUUGGCACACCAUGGCGUCCUCAGCUCGGUGUCGGAGGCGUCAUGGCGGGGUCGAAAUGUAAAACCCCGGGGGCUCGACAGCGAAAACUGCCCUCGUCUGAAAAGAUUCUGGGAGUUAAGAGACACCGGGACGACCGCGUGCAACGACAGGAGGUGCGCGGAAACGGACUCCGGAAGGCAGAUCUACGAACCAACUAAUCAGUGAGGGAAACCGUGACGCACAGAAGUUGUCCUGGACUGGAAGAAGCGGAAGACCAGGCUGUACCAAACCCUCCUGAUGAUGAUGCAUCCGUGCCAUGUGAUUGAUGUCUUCAGAUAUCCAACCUUCAGGAAGCUUUGAUUGUUGUGGCUUCACCUAAGCUCACCAAGCACAGGACACUGCCUUGACCUCCUGACCUCCAGCCCCCCACAAGUCUGCAAAUCUCUCUGCGACGUAGCAUGCCAACGUUGUACAACUCAGCUGACUAAACACAAACUAUGGCCGGUAAUGAACAAUGAAAACCUGACAAGAUUCACCUUCUUGGAACUUAAGUCUUGCAAACGUUUGCACAAACUAUAUACCAGCUAACCAGCAAUGGAUCCACCCACGUCCCUCAAAGUGCUUAGGAGGCGCUCUCUUGCCAACACUACUCAACACAACACAAACUGGACACCCAUCUGGGGAAAAUGCAACCACAACAUAAUUGGGAGAAGGACAUUCUAUAACUGUAUUUGUAACAGUGAUUCUUUGAAAUGGGUAUUCAGUCCAUAGAUAAUGUACUAUGACUCACUUUAAAAUCUAUAUUAUCUGAAGUACAUGUAUGCUCCUGUGUUGGAUGUCAAGUAAAAUCAUUGCUUAUUUCCUAA